UUGACAUAUGAGGGGCUUAACCUUCCUUGAUUCAAAUCAAAUUCAUCUUGAUCAAAGAUCAAAUGAAUUGCUUUGUAUUAAGGAUAGGUUGCUUCUUGGUCAAGCAAAAAACCUAAAUCAAUACAAGAUCAUUCUCCUUUUCUUUUGGCAUGGCAAGUUGUAGGAGCUUGGCUUACUAGUCAUGGUCUCUAACUUGUGUUUGUUGCCUAUAGUUUUAUUGACCGGCCUCAGAUAGGUGUGACUACUACAUUAGUCCACUUACGGUUGCUUAAC
RNAcentral lists this long non-coding RNA (273 nucleotides) under Lathyrus oleraceus (garden pea). Its description in RNAcentral is "Pisum sativum (pea) long non-coding RNA (PSAT_LNC028355)". Lineage: Eukaryota; Viridiplantae; Streptophyta; Magnoliopsida; Fabales; Fabaceae. The record is from RNAcentral.